AGCCCGAGGGGGCGUGGCCAGGCGGGCGGGCGGCUUGAAAGGCGGUCAGCGGCUUCGCGUGGCUUGGGGUGUAACGGGAGUUAGCGGUGCUGGGGGUAUUGUCCGGGAGGAGAGGAGCCUCCGAGGGGCGGCAACGGAGGCCUUUGGCGGCUUUCCGGUAGCGGGAGAACCGUGGAAAGAUGAUUGAAAAUUUAAAGUUGUGCGCAUGCGCGGGGUGGAGCGUAGGCUCUUGGGGGCAGGCGGAGAGUCGGUUUUCCGGGACCUCGUGGCGCAACGGUAGCGCGUCUGACUCCAGAUCAGAAGGCUGCGUGUUCGAAUCACGUCGGGGUCACCGUGUUCCCCUCGGGGGUUCACUUUUUUUUCAUUCCAAGAGAGUGAUUUCUUUGCUCGGGUCUCACAGAGGGAACAAAGUCUGAGUCGUCGUAUGGAUAAAGCUUCGGAGUGAGUCAGAGUGCUGAAAUUGAGCUGCAUUGCUUCCCUUGCCCUGCUGUGAGCUGGCUGCACUGAGCAGAGGGAACAUCUGCCCUUCAGGAUGACUUUCUAUGCCCUCUUCUCUGCCUAUCUAUGCAUUAACGUGAGCAAGUAUCCAUCACUGCUGUGGCUUCCUCCCGAAACCUUCAGCCCAGGGGUCUCAACCCCAACAUUCCCUCUGCAUGAGCUUCCCCCCUGCAUUCACUCACAUCAUUCCUCCAAUGCAACCUCUCAGUGUUGACCUCCAGUGAUGCUUCGGAUGGUUUCAACUUCUGUUGAAGCGUUUCCCUUUGGAAAAGUUUCUUUCCCAUCCACUUCUCCGUUGGUUGCCAUGGGGAGCAGCGAUGUCACAGUAGAGAAGGGUGCACUCCAUGAACAGCAGCUUCCUGCUGGCCAUGUGAACAGCUCUGCAGAUGGGAGAGAUGUCCAAGACCAAAUCCAAUGCACUGAUAAGAUGUCAGAAGGACACUGAAGCUGAGCACAACCCAGAGGAACUCAAUGUGCAAAACAGAAGUACUGAAGUAACGUUUGAAACAAAGGACUUCAAAGUGACAGCAGGCUGCGUUGCUGCCAGCAGUGAGUCGAGUGGAACAUCUAGUGAUGAACAGAAUGAAGACGACCAGGAUGAAACAUGCUUUGCUGUUUCUCUGUCUCCCAAAGGAAUCAGGACCAGCAGGAAAAGGCCAAAGAUAAAGAGCAAGUGGUCACCGGUGCAGAAGAAAAUGAGACUAGUGGAAGUGGAAGAGGAGCCAUUGCUACCAAUAAAGGCAGGGGCUGGAG
RNAcentral lists this transfer RNA (1251 nucleotides) under Chrysolophus pictus (golden pheasant). RNAcentral's name for it is "lncRNA (ENSCPIG00010005346.1)". The stretch from base 260 to 331 matches the Rfam family "tRNA". The record is from RNAcentral. Lineage: Eukaryota; Metazoa; Chordata; Aves; Galliformes; Phasianidae.